Molecule: ribosomal RNA, 623 nt
Filed under: Hansenula anomala
Lineage: Eukaryota; Fungi; Ascomycota; Saccharomycetes; Phaffomycetales; Wickerhamomycetaceae
Description: eukaryotic LSU rRNA
Rfam family: 5.8S ribosomal RNA (bases 229-382)
Source: RNAcentral
GUCGUAACAAGGUUUCCGUAGGUGAACCUGCGGAAGGAUCAUUAUAGUAUUCUAUUGCCAGCGCUUAAUUGCGCGGCGAUAAACCUUACACACAUUGUCUAGUUUUUUUGAACUUUGCUUUGGGUGCAUCAGCCUAGCUGCGUGCCCAAAGGUCUAAACACAUUUUUUUAAUGUUAAAACCUUUAACCAAUAGUCAUGAAAAUUUUUAACCAAAAUUAAAAUCUUCAAAACUUUCAACAACGGAUCUCUUGGUUCUCGCAACGAUGAAGAACGCAGCGAAAUGCGAUACGUAUUGUGAAUUGCAGAUUUUCGUGAAUCAUCGAAUCUUUGAACGCACAUUGCACCCUCUGGUAUUCCAGAGGGUAUGCCUGUUUGAGCGUCAUUUCUCUCUCAAACCUUCGGGUUUGGUAUUGAGUGAUACUCUGUCAAGGGUUAACUUGAAAUAUUGACUUAGCAAGAGUGUACUAAUAAGCAGUCUUUCUGAAAUAAUGUAUUAGGUUCUUCCAACUCGUUAUAUCAGCUAGGCAGGUUUAGAAGUAUUUUAGGCUCGGCUUAACAACAAUAAACUAAAAGUUUGACCUCAAAUCAGGUAGGACUACCCGCUGAACUUAAGCAUAUCAAUA